AUAAGGUGGCUGAGUUUUAUAGGCGGUAGAUUGUAAAUUUAUUAACAAGUUAAUAACUUCCUUAUUAA
This 68-nucleotide transfer RNA is filed under the name Jonas distinctus. RNAcentral describes it as "tRNA-Tyr". The record is from RNAcentral. Lineage: Eukaryota; Metazoa; Arthropoda; Malacostraca; Decapoda; Corystidae.